This 439-nucleotide ribosomal RNA is filed under the name uncultured bacterium. RNAcentral describes it as "bacterial SSU rRNA". It matches the Rfam family "Bacterial small subunit ribosomal RNA", at positions 28 to 447 of the family's 1533-position model. The record is from RNAcentral.
GAUGAACGCUGGCGGCGUGCUUAACACAUGCAAGUCGAACGAAGCACUUUGGACAGAUUCUUCGGAUGAAGUCCUUAGUGACUGAGUGGCGAACGGGUGAGUAACGCGUGAGGAACCUGCCUUUCAGAGGGGGACAACAGUUGGAAACGACUGCUAAUACCGCAUGACACACGGAUACCGCAUGGUAACCGUGUCAAAGAUUUAUCGCUGAAAGAUGGCCUCGCGUCUGAUUAGCUGGUUGGUGAGGUAACGGCCCACCAAGGCGACGAUCAGUAGCCGGCCUGAGAGGAUGAACGGCCACAUUGGGACUGAGAUACGGCCCAGACUCCUACGGGAGGCAGCAGUGGGGAAUAUUGGGCAAAUGGGGAAAACCCUGACCCAGCAACGCCGCGUGAAGGAAGAAGGCUUUCGGGUUGUAAACUUCUUUUACCUAGGGACG